AUUUUAUCAAUAUUAACCCUUUGUCUUUCAUAGUCUGAAAAUUUAAAGUUAAUAUUUCAAAUGUCAUUAUUUCCAUAAUGAAAAAAUAUUGAAAAACAAAUGUUUUCCCUCUAUUUGCUAAAACUUUAUCCUUUUUUUUUUUUAGGGCACCACUCUUCCUUAUAUUGCACUACUUAGCCUUCAAAUUUCAGAGAGUAUUACAAAUGAAGUCUCUUUGACUCUGUUUUCUCAUCAUUUUCCCAAGCCAUGGUCAACAGCUUCAAGAGAUCGAUAACAGUGGUAAGAGAGAGACAUUUUAAGGAAAUGGCUCACAAAAUUGUGGUGGAUGGCAAGUCCAAAACCUGCAGGGAAGGCUGGCAGGCUGGAGACCCCGGGAAUAGCAGAUGUUGCAGUCUGAAGACAGCUUAUAGGCAGAGCUCCCUCUGUAAGUGUCUGUGUUCUAAUCUCCUCCUAUUAUAGGGACACCAGUCAUAUUGGGUUAGGACCCACCCUAAUGAACUCACAGAACUGAAUUACCUCUUUAAAGACCCUGUCUCCAAAUACAGUCUUAUUCAUAGGUCUUGAGGGUUAGGAUUUAAACAUAUGAAUUUGGUGGGGGACAUGGGAGGACACAACUCAGCCCAUAAUACUUCAUACUCUGACAUCACUGAAUUCAUGUCCUUCUCACAUAAAAAAAUACAUUGACUGCAACCCACUUGCCUGCAAAGUCUUAAUCCCUUAGAUCAUGCAUCACAUGCCCAUCAUAUCUUCAACAAAUAAUCAUCCAGCCACAACCUUGAUGUUCUCUCAGGAGCAGCCUUCCCCAGUUUUUAGAAGAGAGAUAGGCUUAGAAUUCCCCUAGUCUUCAAGUUCCUGGUCCUUUUUGCUUAACAAUUCCUGCUUCAGUUUCUCUCUCUCCUCUUGCAUUUACUGUGAACAGCAAGGAGAAACCAGGCCAUGCCUUCAAGAGCUUGCUUAAAAAUCUCAUGUCAGUAUCCAGAUUCAUCACUAACAGGUUCUACUUUCCACAAAACAUGAAAAUGCAGUUUGGCCAAGUUCUUUGCCACUAUAACAAUGAUUGCCUUUCUUCCCAUUUCAAAUAAUAUGUUCCCACAUUUCUGUUUCAGGCCUCAUCAAAAGCAGCUUUAAUAUUUAUAUUUCUACCACUCUUCUGUUUAUGAUGAUGUAUGUAUAUCUGUAAGAUGAUAGGAGCUUUUUCUACAGCUUUCCUUUUUUUCUCUCUGAGCCCUCUUCAGAAUCACCUUUAACUUUCAUGUUUCAAUCAGCAGUCUCUUCAGGGCAGUCUAGACCUUUUCUAACUUGUUCUUCAAAACUCCUUCAGCUCUGCUCAUUACCCAGUUCUAAAGCCGCUUGAAUAUGUGUAGGUAUUUGUCAUAGUAGCACCUCUCUUCCUGGUUCUGAAGUCUGGACUAGUCGGUGUUCUUCAGAGAAACAGAAUCAGUAGGGUGUGUGUGUGUGUGUGUGUGUGUGUGUGUGUACACAGUGUGGAGGCACAAUUCCUUCUAUCCUUGUGUGUACCCUUAUCAUCUUACAAUAUAUUGCAUAUUUUAUUUAUUAUUUGUUUUGUCUGACGUAUAUCUUUUUUGUUGCUAGUAUUGGCUUAAUAGAGGCAGGUCCUUUACCAGAUAUUUUUCUUUCUGAUACCUCUUAUAGACACGAAUAAUGUUUGACACGCAUCAGAUGCUUAACACAUGCCUAUUGAAGCAGUGAAUAAAAGUAUACCCAUUUUGUUCAUGUUCCUUUUUAAGAUUCUGUAAGUUCUUCCUACUUCUCUCUUUUCUUCUUCUCCCAGGCUGCAGUAGCGCUCAGAAGUCAGAAAUGAAAAAUAAUAUUUUCUAGGUAAAACACUUGGGUUGGUGAGAAACACAGCCCAUGAAGCCCAUCCUUUGUCUUAGCUGUUUUCUGUCACUUUUUAGACUGUGUCUUGCCUAUCAAUUUUACCUGAUCUUUUCCAGCCAUUUCAGAUAUGUUAUGGCCUGGGUUCCUGGCUUCCUCCCCUCCUCAAUAAAUUACUUAAUCACUGCUAAUAGUUCUCAAUAAUUUGAUCAUUUUAAAAUGUUUCUCUAAGAUCAUCUCAAGUCCCCAUGCUCACACUGCCACUGCAUUUAUGUGUGAAAUAAAAAUUCCUUCCCAGCAAGUACAUGACCUGAUGUUGUCCCAGACUUUUAUCUACUGGGUAAAAUGACCCCUGUGUACAUGUGCAAAGAUAGGAAUUUGGAAAAUUUUGGCUUACAGUGGUAUUUAUGCCAUGACAUUGCAUGAGAUCACUAAUGUGUGCAGAUUGUGAGGAGAGAUGACUAUUGAUUAAACUCUCAGGAAUUCCAUUACUAAGUGGAUGAGAGAAAAUGAAGAAUCUGCAAAUUUAAGUUAAAAAUGCAAAAAUUAUCAAUGGUGUCUAAAGCUACUGAGAAGACGUUUAACCAGAAUCUUACCUAUCACUGUUAUGUUUAGGAGUUUGCUCAUGACAUUGGUUUUGUGAGGAUAAAACUGCACGUAGAAUGAGUGAAGAAUUACCUAAGAGUUGAGAUAAUAGAAUAAGAGAGGGAAAACGCUCUAAAAAAGUGGAGUUGUAGGGACUUCCCUAGUGGUGCAGUGGUUUAGAAUCCGCCUGCCAAUGCAGGGAACACGGGUUCAAUCCCCGGUCCAGGAAGAUCCCAGGUGCUGCGGAGCAAGUAAGCCCAUGUGCCACAACUACUGAGUCUGUAAUCUAGACGCUGCGAGCCACAACUACUGAGCCCACAUGCUGCAACUACUGAAGGCCGCACACUCUAGGGCCCACGUGCCAAAACUACUGAGCCUGCCUGCCUAGAGCCCAUGCUCCAAAACAAGAGAAACCACAGCAAUGAGAAGCCGGCGCACCGCAAUGAAGAGAAGACCCCGCUCGCCACAAGUAGAGAGAAAGCCCGUGUGCAGCAACGAAGACCCAACUUAGCCAAAAAAUAAAUUUAAAAAAAACAGUGGAGUUGCAAAGGGUGUAAGAAAUGGUAGAAUCAGAAAAUGUACUGGAUGAAAGAGUGACCUGUAAUUGUUUCAAGGUGUCCAAUAUUUAUCAAGUUAUUUUUAAGAGAUUCAAAAAGACUGAAGCGCAUUGAUGGGAUUAUCUUACAAGAGAUUUGAUAAAACAGCUUGUCUUGGCCAAGAGCUUCUCCUUAGGGUGUCUCCGUAAAGGGUCUUUGAAGACAGUGGCAGUUUUGGAAGGAAAUAUUUUCUAGAUGAUAUUGGAUAUAAACUUGUCCUUUGUCUUCACAGAGUGGGCAGGAGGAGUUGUCUUAGCCAUUAAGCUUUGCCCCAGUAUUUCAAGGUAGGUGUAAUUCAGAGUGACAUCCCCCAAGUGCAUUGGAUUCUGCUCUUUCCUCUGCUGGAUACUGUAGCGCCUGAUAAAUACCUUUAGUUGCUGUGAGUAAACUGGACCAAGAAAGAGGAAAAACAACUACAGAAAAAAUUCAUAGAUACUGUUUUUCAGUCAUUUCAGAAAGGUGUAUUGCCUCACUACAUGCAUUCAUGUUGUUCUUCAUUGACCUGAUGUGUUACGGGCUCAUGGUCUACCAGCGGCUCCAUGGGUCUUUUCCCACACAGACACAAGCAGAGAAUCCAAUGCGUUCACAGCAGCAGCCUCUCCCCUAGACUUUCCCAUGAGACCAAAGCACCAUUCUUAUCGUGCUGAGGAAAAAAGCUGCGUUCACCAUUCUCAUUCUGGUGAAUAUGUUGUCUGUUUUUACCCUCUCUUUUUAUUUUAUCUUUUUGGAUAACUCUGAUUAUGAACCCACACCAUGGUCUAAUGAACGCCUCUGCAAAGGUACUUUCGGGUUUCCCGACAUUCAUCCCUUAGUGCUUUUUGGCAGUGACACUCAGCUCUCUCAGUUUAGCUUUCCUGUUGGGCAAGGAAAACAAAUAUUCUGAGUGUAGCUCCUGGGCUAUAAGUUCUCUCUAGAACACCCCGCCAUGUAUUUAAUCAGCUUUAUAUAUUUGUAGGCUCAUGUUUUAUGUCAUUUCAUCUUCCAGAAGAUUUUGACUCAAAAUUGAUAACAGUGAUAAUAGCUCUGCUUUGUAUUACAUGUAGAGUAUAAAAACACGAAAGCUACUCAUAGUUAUUCAAAAAUAAUUUUCUAAAGGUAUAUAAUGUUAUUCACUACAGGUUCAGGGAAUUUUAUGAUAAUAUAGAGAAUGUUCAAGAUUUAGGAAUGUAGGUUAUAACAGCACUUUAAUUUAAACGUUAAACUUUAUGUUGACACUUAAGAGAUUUAUUUGAAUUUACAAAGCAUAGUGGGGAAAAUAGAUGUUUCAUUUGGAGAGCAAAAGACCUGGGAAUACUCUUGAGCUGUAAAGUCACAUAUGGAAUUCAAAGACUGAAGGAAGAUCGAUGUGUUUGUUGUAUAGUGUGCGAUGGGAAGAGUGAUGAGAAAACAAGCAGAGGAAGCAGGUGAAGGCUUCUUUUGCCAGGUAUCAGAGGAUAUCUCAGUGAUAAGAAUGAUCCGAACUUUUUGUAGGGAAGAUGAUGAGCUUGUGGGGGAUUAGUCAGAUGGGAUAAUAAUCAGUGUUGUAUAUGAUAACAAGUGUAAGUAUUCGAUUCAAAUAAAUUUACUUUAUUAAACUCUACAU
Monodon monoceros (narwhal) is the source of this 4599-nucleotide long non-coding RNA. Lineage: Eukaryota; Metazoa; Chordata; Mammalia; Artiodactyla; Monodontidae. The record is from Ensembl.